CGGUGACUGCCUGUUGGUUGCAUUUGUGUUUUCAGUGGUGUCCAGACAAAUCGUCUGUCUUUGGAAGUUCUGCAGAGGAUGGUCUUUUAAACAUUUGGGAUUAUGAGAAGGUCGGUAAGGAGCGAACUCCAAAAGGCCCAACUUCUCCACCUGGCCUGUUUUUCCAGCAUGCUGGGCACAGGGACAAGGUUGUUGAUUUUCAUUGGAAUGCAUCUGAUCCAUGGACUGUUGUCAGUGUGUCUGAUGACUGUGAUAGUACUGGCGGAGGGGGUACAU
Long non-coding RNA from Malus domestica (apple), 276 nucleotides. RefSeq lists it as uncharacterized. NCBI's taxonomy places the organism in Eukaryota, Viridiplantae, Streptophyta, Magnoliopsida, Rosales, Rosaceae. The record is from RefSeq and is a predicted model, not a curated record.